GAUGAACGCUGGCGGCGUGCCUAAUACAUGCAAGUCGAGCGAACAGACGAGGAUCUUGCUCCUCUGACGUUAGCGGCGGACGGGUGAGUAACACGUGUAUAACCUACCUAUAAUACUGGUAUAACUUCGGGAAACCGGAGCUAAUACCGUAGAAUAUCUUGAACCGCAUUGGUCAAUAGUGAAAUACGGUGUUUCGGUCACUUAUAGAUGGAUCCGGGCCGCAUUAGGUAGUUGUGCAGGUAACGGCUUACCAAGGCGAGGAGGCGUAGCCGACGUGAGGGGGUGAUAGGCGACCUGGGAACUUAGACAGCGUCAAGAGUACUACGAGAGGGCGCAGAAGGGAAUCUGCCGCAAUGGGCGAGAGUUUGGCGGAGCAACGCGGAGUGAGUGAUGACGGUCUUGGGAGCGUAAAAAUGUGUUAUUAGGGAAGAACCAAUGUGUAAGUAACUAUGCCCGUAUUGACGGUAAUUAAUAAGAAAGCAACGGCUAACUACGUG
RNAcentral lists this ribosomal RNA (497 nucleotides) under uncultured bacterium. Its description in RNAcentral is "partial 16S ribosomal RNA". It matches the Rfam family "Bacterial small subunit ribosomal RNA", at positions 28 to 507 of the family's 1533-position model. The record is from RNAcentral.